CCUACGGGAGGCAGCAGUGAGGAAUAUUGGUCAAUGGACGCAAGUCUGAACCAGCCAUGCCGCGUGCAGGAAGACGGCUCUAUGAGUUGUAAACUGCUUUUGUACGAGGGUAAACGCAGAUACGCGUAUCUUUAUGAGAGUAUCGUACGAAUAAGGAUCGGCUAACUCCGUGCCAGCAGCCGCGGUAAAACGGAGGAUUCAAGCGUUAUCCGGAUUUAUGGGGUUUAAAGGGUGCGUAGGCGGUCGGAUAAGUUAGAGGUGAAAUCCCGAGGCUUAACUUCGGAAUUGCCUCUGAUACUGUUCGGCUAGAGUGUAGUUGCGGUAGGCGGAAUGUGUGGUGUAGCGGUGAAAUGCUUAGAGAUCAUGCAGAACACCGAUUGCGAAGGCAGCUUACCAGGCUACUUCUGACGUUGAGGCACGAAAGCGUGGGGAGCAAACAGGAUUAGAUACCCCUGUAGUC
RNAcentral lists this ribosomal RNA (460 nucleotides) under uncultured bacterium. Its description in RNAcentral is "partial 16S ribosomal RNA". It matches the Rfam family "Bacterial small subunit ribosomal RNA", at positions 338 to 795 of the family's 1533-position model. The record is from RNAcentral.